RNAcentral lists this ribosomal RNA (164 nucleotides) under uncultured bacterium. RNAcentral's name for it is "partial 16S rRNA". It matches the Rfam family "Bacterial small subunit ribosomal RNA", at positions 355 to 511 of the family's 1533-position model. The record is from RNAcentral.
UAGGGAAUCUUCCACAAUGGACGCAAGUCUGAUGGAGCAACGCCGCGUGAGUGAAGAAGGUUUUCGGAUCGUAAAGCUCUGUUGUUGGUGAAGAAGGUUAGAGGCAGUAACUGGUCUUUAUUUGACGGUAAUCAACCAGAAAGUCACGGCUAACUACGUGCCAG